GUCCACGCCCUAAACGAUGUCAACUUGUUGUUGGACGGCUUGCUGUUCAGUAACGAAGCUAACGCGUGAAGUUGACCGCCUGGGGAGUACGGCCGCAAGGUUGAAACUCAAAGGAAUUUACGGGGACCCGCACAAGCGGUGGAUGAUGUGGUUUAAUUCGAUGCAACGCUAAAACCUUACCUACCCUUGACAUGCCAGGAACUUGCCAGAGAUGGCUUGGUGCUCGAAAGAGAACCUGGACACAGGUGCUGCAUGGCCGUCGU
Molecule: ribosomal RNA, 263 nt
Filed under: uncultured bacterium
Lineage: Bacteria
Description: partial 16S ribosomal RNA
Rfam family: Bacterial small subunit ribosomal RNA
Source: RNAcentral